RNAcentral lists this ribosomal RNA (2925 nucleotides) under Escherichia coli. Its description in RNAcentral is "23S ribosomal RNA". It matches the Rfam family "Bacterial large subunit ribosomal RNA". Lineage: Bacteria; Pseudomonadati; Pseudomonadota; Gammaproteobacteria; Enterobacterales; Enterobacteriaceae. The record is from RNAcentral.
GGGUUGUGAGGUUAAGCGACUAAGCGUACACGGUGGAUGCCCUGGCAGUCAGAGGCGAUGAAGGACGUGCUAAUCUGCGAUAAGCGUCGGUAAGGUGAUAUGAACCGUUAUAACCGGCGAUUUCCGAAUGGGGAAACCCAGUGUGAUUCGUCACACUAUCAUUAACUGAAUCCAUAGGUUAAUGAGGCGAACCGGGGGAACUGAAACAUCUAAGUACCCCGAGGAAAAGAAAUCAACCGAGAUUCCCCCAGUAGCGGCGAGCGAACGGGGAGCAGCCCAGAGCCUGAAUCAGUGUGUGUGUUAGUGGAAGCGUCUGGAAAGGCGCGCGAUACAGGGUGACAGCCCCGUACACAAAAAUGCACAUGCUGUGAGCUCGAUGAGUAGGGCGGGACACGUGGUAUCCUGUCUGAAUAUGGGGGGACCAUCCUCCAAGGCUAAAUACUCCUGACUGACCGAUAGUGAACCAGUACCGUGAGGGAAAGGCGAAAAGAACCCCGGCGAGGGGAGUGAAAAAGAACCUGAAACCGUGUACGUACAAGCAGUGGGAGCACGCUUCGGCGUGUGACUGCGUACCUUUUGUAUAAUGGGUCAGCGACUUAUAUUCUGUAGCAAGGUUAACCGAAUAGGGGAGCCGAAGGGAAACCGAGUCUUAACUGGGCGUUAAGUUGCAGGGUAUAGACCCGAAACCCGGUGAUCUAGCCAUGGGCAGGUUGAAGGUUGGGUAACACUAACUGGAGGACCGAACCGACUAAUGUUGAAAAAUUAGCGGAUGACUUGUGGCUGGGGGUGAAAGGCCAAUCAAACCGGGAGAUAGCUGGUUCUCCCCGAAAGCUAUUUAGGUAGCGCCUCGUGAAUUCAUCUCCGGGGGUAGAGCACUGUUUCGGCAAGGGGGUCAUCCCGACUUACCAACCCGAUGCAAACUGCGAAUACCGGAGAAUGUUAUCACGGGAGACACACGGCGGGUGCUAACGUCCGUCGUGAAGAGGGAAACAACCCAGACCGCCAGCUAAGGUCCCAAAGUCAUGGUUAAGUGGGAAACGAUGUGGGAAGGCCCAGACAGCCAGGAUGUUGGCUUAGAAGCAGCCAUCAUUUAAAGAAAGCGUAAUAGCUCACUGGUCGAGUCGGCCUGCGCGGAAGAUGUAACGGGGCUAAACCAUGCACCGAAGCUGCGGCAGCGACGCUGAUGCGUUGUUGGGUAGGGGAGCGUUCUGUAAGCCUGCGAAGGUGUGCUGUGAGGCAUGCUGGAGGUAUCAGAAGUGCGAAUGCUGACAUAAGUAACGAUAAAGCGGGUGAAAAGCCCGCUCGCCGGAAGACCAAGGGUUCCUGUCCAACGUUAAUCGGGGCAGGGUGAGUCGACCCCUAAGGCGAGGCCGAAAGGCGUAGUCGAUGGGAAACAGGUUAAUAUUCCUGUACUUGGUGUUACUGCGAAGGGGGGACGGAGAAGGCUAUGUUGGCCGGGCGACGGUUGUCCCGGUUUAAGCGUGUAGGCUGGUUUUCCAGGCAAAUCCGGAAAAUCAAGGCUGAGGCGUGAUGACGAGGCACUACGGUGCUGAAGCAACAAAUGCCCUGCUUCCAGGAAAAGCCUCUAAGCAUCAGGUAACAUCAAAUCGUACCCCAAACCGACACAGGUGGUCAGGUAGAGAAUACCAAGGCGCUUGAGAGAACUCGGGUGAAGGAACUAGGCAAAAUGGUGCCGUAACUUCGGGAGAAGGCACGCUGAUAUGUAGGUGAAGCGACUUGCUCGUGGAGCUGAAAUCAGUCGAAGAUACCAGCUGGCUGCAACUGUUUAUUAAAAACACAGCACUGUGCAAACACGAAAGUGGACGUAUACGGUGUGACGCCUGCCCGGUGCCGGAAGGUUAAUUGAUGGGGUCAGCGCAAGCGAAGCUCUUGAUCGAAGCCCCGGUAAACGGCGGCCGUAACUAUAACGGUCCUAAGGUAGCGAAAUUCCUUGUCGGGUAAGUUCCGACCUGCACGAAUGGCGUAAUGAUGGCCAGGCUGUCUCCACCCGAGACUCAGUGAAAUUGAACUCGCUGUGAAGAUGCAGUGUACCCGCGGCAAGACGGAAAGACCCCGUGAACCUUUACUAUAGCUUGACACUGAACAUUGAGCCUUGAUGUGUAGGAUAGGUGGGAGGCUUUGAAGUGUGGACGCCAGUCUGCAUGGAGCCGACCUUGAAAUACCACCCUUUAAUGUUUGAUGUUCUAACGUUGACCCGUAAUCCGGGUUGCGGACAGUGUCUGGUGGGUAGUUUGACUGGGGCGGUCUCCUCCUAAAGAGUAACGGAGGAGCACGAAGGUUGGCUAAUCCUGGUCGGACAUCAGGAGGUUAGUGCAAUGGCAUAAGCCAGCUUGACUGCGAGCGUGACGGCGCGAGCAGGUGCGAAAGCAGGUCAUAGUGAUCCGGUGGUUCUGAAUGGAAGGGCCAUCGCUCAACGGAUAAAAGGUACUCCGGGGAUAACAGGCUGAUACCGCCCAAGAGUUCAUAUCGACGGCGGUGUUUGGCACCUCGAUGUCGGCUCAUCACAUCCUGGGGCUGAAGUAGGUCCCAAGGGUAUGGCUGUUCGCCAUUUAAAGUGGUACGCGAGCUGGGUUUAGAACGUCGUGAGACAGUUCGGUCCCUAUCUGCCGUGGGCGCUGGAGAACUGAGGGGGGCUGCUCCUAGUACGAGAGGACCGGAGUGGACGCAUCACUGGUGUUCGGGUUGUCAUGCCAAUGGCACUGCCCGGUAGCUAAAUGCGGAAGAGAUAAGUGCUGAAAGCAUCUAAGCACGAAACUUGCCCCGAGAUGAGUUCUCCCUGACUCCUUGAGAGUCCUGAAGGAACGUUGAAGACGACGACGUUGAUAGGCCGGGUGUGUAAGCGCAGCGAUGCGUUGAGCUAACCGGUACUAAUGAACCGUGAGGCUUAACCUUACAACGCCGAAG